RNAcentral lists this transfer RNA (75 nucleotides) under Clostridiales bacterium. RNAcentral's name for it is "tRNA-Gln". It matches the Rfam family "tRNA". Rfam says of the family: Transfer RNA (tRNA) molecules are approximately 80 nucleotides in length. Their secondary structure includes four short double-helical elements and three loops (D, anti-codon, and T loops). Further hydrogen bonds mediate the characteristic L-shaped molecular structure. tRNAs have two regions of fundamental functional importance: the anti-codon, which is responsible for specific mRNA codon recognition, and the 3' end, to which the tRNAs corresponding amino acid is attached (by aminoacyl-tRNA synthetases). tRNAs cope with the degeneracy of the genetic code in two manners: having more than one tRNA (with a specific anti-codon) for a particular amino acid; and 'wobble' base-pairing, i.e. permitting non-standard base-pairing at the 3rd anti-codon position. RNAcentral also lists the same sequence under 15 other names. Lineage: Bacteria; Bacillati; Bacillota; Clostridia; Eubacteriales. The record is from RNAcentral.
AGGGGUGUAGCCAAGUGGUAAGGCAAGGGACUUUGACUCCCUCAUUCGCUGGUUCGAGUCCAGCCAUCCCUGCCA